CCGAUUGCGAUUGCACGUCGGGCAUUCAGUAGACUCGGCCAUUUCUCUCGCGAAGUGUAGCGACUCGCUUAGCCGCGCGACGGGGUUUUUUUUUUCGCGAACUUACCGUGCGGGUACUCCCGGAAGUUUUGCAAAAUAACGCGACGCAAAAGGAAUGAUACACUCCGGGCGCACCAGGCUCGAGGUAUACGUCGCGGCGUAAUAAUUUUAUUAUUAAGUUCACAAGAACUUAUAAGUAUCCUUAUCCAGAUCCAGGAUUCUCGCUGCAUUUAUAAAGAAAAGAUACUGGUUUACUAUUAUUGGUUAAUUAUUAACAUAAUUCGAUGACAAACUUCUAAAUUUUUAGGAAACGAUUGUAAAUAUGUAUUAUAAUAAAAUACACUACUAUUUUCCAAAUUCACCUUAUUCCAAAUUUUUUGUAGAUAUUCUUAUAUGUUACUUUAGUUUCUAUUUAUUGCGAAGGAAACUGAAGAUAUAAAUUUUCAUCUCACCAAUUGGCAUUAAAUAAAUAAACGUUUACAAAAGUAGUACAUUGUGAAUUGUAAUUUCAUAACCUGAUUACAAUCUACAACAAUUACUUGUUAUCCUUAUGACUAUGCA
This 600-nucleotide unclassified non-coding RNA is filed under the name Pogonomyrmex barbatus (red harvester ant). RNAcentral describes it as "uncharacterized LOC105426798, transcript variant X1". The record is from RNAcentral. Lineage: Eukaryota; Metazoa; Arthropoda; Insecta; Hymenoptera; Formicidae.